Molecule: RNA transcript, 5418 nt
Organism: Diachasmimorpha longicaudata
Lineage: Eukaryota; Metazoa; Arthropoda; Insecta; Hymenoptera; Braconidae
Gene name: protein scribble homolog
Exons: 7
Source: RefSeq, a predicted model, not a curated record
GAUUAAGCUGUUGUGAUGAGCUGAGGGAUGAGUGCAGGAUAUCGCAGAUUUGAUCCAAGGGAGUCCUUGGGGUCCUUAUGGAAUGGAGAUGGGGGAAUUUUUCUGCGGUUUAUCAAUUUGGAACAUCCGCUGGGUGAUUACAGCUGAUGGAAUGCAAUUGGGGAGGAGUUCAAGACUUUUCCAGUGUUUGCUGGGGAGUGGGAGGGCGGGUUUAGGGGUUCUCUUGGUGUUGGUGUGCCGGAGGGAGCCAGGGGGAGGUUGGCUCAUUGUGUUGAAAUCAGCUGUGCAAUCAACAAACGGGGCAGGGGGUUUUUGGUUGGGAGAAUCUAUUAGUGAAUGCAAAAGUUCAUUAGCAUAUACUCGGUAGCUGUGCCUCCAUCUUGGGUUGAGAAUGGGAGGAAAGGGAAUUCGAGGUUGAAUUUUAUUUUCUGACUUUGGGGAAAAAUUAUGAAAUUCUGAGCUUUCAAAGAAAGUUAUGAAAGUACAAGUAAAUAAAUUCAUAUAUCAAAGAAUGAUUAUCAGAACAUUCAUAUCAGCUUUUCUAAUUACGUCGAAAAUGUAAACAUAGAUUAGAAAAUUCUUCUCGAGAGAUAAUGGAAAGGUAUAAAAAAAUACUGUGGCACAUAAUACGAAGACUCGCCCUAGCUCUUUCGACUGAAAUCGAGGGUUUGGAAAUGUAGGGGACGUGAAAGGAAGUCCCUCCCCAUUCAAACGCCAUUACUGUAAUUGCGAUGUUAGUAUGAUCGAUAACAAUUCAUUUAAAAGUCUCGCGAUAAGUCUUUUGAAAAAAUUAACUUGUGGGGGGUUGGAACAGGAUUGCAGUCCAGCAAGAAGCUUAAAAAAUCUCAAAAUCAUAAUGAAAAUCUUGAAAUAGGGCAUCAUUUUUUUUUGACUUUCUAAAUUUAUUUCUUCUCGUAACCCUGAACGGCUCAACUGAAGUUGAUUCAGACUGCCUUAAAAAUAGGGAAGAACAUGGAAAUUAAACGGCUUCUAGGGUAUUUCAUGGUGGCAGACUCUUGGUUUCUCGCGCCUGACGCGUAACACCCUCGGACACCACCGUGUGAUCUAUAAAUAGAUUAGCUAAAUCUAUCGUCCCGCAGAAUGCUAAGUUGCGCGAUGUAUGGGAGUAAAGGGAGACACGCUGUGAUUCAGUGGAGACAGAAAAAAAAUCGCUCAAGAGAGCGAGAGAGUAGACCGAAGGGGAGAAUGAAGUAGUAGUGGAGGAAGUAGUUACAGACGGUGAAGUAGAUGAGAAAUUCGUCAAGAUCAAUUUGUCUUGUGAGACGCGCGUCUGUGGCUUCGGUAAUUGUUUGAGGUGGGCGAAAAGAAACGCCAGAGGCAGUUACUUUGGAAAGUUGGCUUGAAUUUUCAAACGGCAACCACCAACGUUCAAGAGCAACAAAAAUGACACUCAUUCUCGUGACGAUCUAGGGAGGGAAACGAAGGUACACAAGUGCAGGCCCUAUUAGUAGCUCGUUAAACUACCUUGUACUUGGAAAAGUGGCUUUGCACUUUUGCUACGUGACUCCCAGAAAUACAAAUCUUCGUGAACAGGAAACCACGAAGGAAAAGCUCUCAGUCAACAAGUUUGUGAAAAUAUGGGAGAGACAUUUUUAGAGGUAUCUUGAAUAAUGUCGAAGAAUUGUGAAGGUUCUAUGUGGAGAAAUGACGUAAAAAAUGAUGUCCUGCCAGCUACGAUUUUUGAUCCGGAAACGAGGAAGAACCGCAGAGGUGGCGUAGACUUGAGGGCAACCAAAACACACUUAGGAACACAUUGAGUUGAAGGCGAGAGCGGGAUCGCGUACCCCCGGCAUUACUACUACGGGCUUUUACAAGCGAGGAGACGCAAGCAGCGAAAAGGAGAGCCCCGGAGGAGCUGGAACGGCCAGUCUGCGCACAGACAUCGAUCGAAACUCACCUCACGCUCCUCGUUCUCCAACCUAUUCACCAGUGUUUUCCGUCGAUUUACCACACGCCUGCAGUGCGACCGUGUACGCGGUACCUCGUGGUUCAAUUCCCAAGGUUUGCUUUACCCGUGUUUUCCCCCUUUAUUCAAUUUUCCCCAUUCGUUCGAUUUCAAAGUGAAACUCCAACAGUGCUACAAUUCCAUCGUAUUUGUUUGUACAAUUUCAAAAAACGUCAAUGAGGACAACUGACGCUGCACUCUCCAUGUCCAACAUGAGUGGGUUAUUGUAAUUACUCGGAGAUUGAUUUUGGAGCGGAUAAAUCAUGUUCAAACGACUGGCAAAAGUGAGACGACACAGCGCAGACGAGGUUGGUGCAUCGCUUCCACCAACUCCCCUGGACGAGCCGCCUGGAAAUGCGGGAACAUCGAAUAAAUUCCUGGAUGUACCGAUCCAUCAGGCAUUUAAUCCAGCAAUACUCCGUGGCUCGAAAUUCAAGUAUGCGAGAAGAAGUUGUGGCGAUGCUACGGCCAUUCACUCAAUGAUCCUCACCGAUGAGACUGAAAUUGGUACACGCGUUGGAGUUGACAAUGAUUAUCAAACUGUCACUGCUGUGCCGGCUUUCAUCGUCGAGCAUGAGCCUGAGAAAGCCCGAGGUUUGAGUGUGUGGGGACGGAGGAUGAGCAAAAAAAUCGAAUCCUUCCGGCGUGUCGGCUCGAGAGAGUCCAUCUGUGCACUCGAACGUGAAGACACCGUUAACAAUAACAAUCACGAGAGUAAUAACAAUAAUACCGAUAAAUCCCAGGAGAAUCGUAAAAAUGAUGGUAAAUUGUUGUCAAGACGAUCACCAUCGCCGUUCAAAUCAUUCUUCAUCAGAAUGGGUUCAACCGGAAUGUUGAACUCCACUAAAACAAUGAGAAAAUCUUCCAACUGUGAUGAUAGACUAAAAACCACUGAUAAGGAAACACUAUUCAGAAGCUGCAGUACAUCACAAUUGAAUACGAGUCCAACUUAUGUCAAAGGUGACGAUCCCUCGGAGGGAAUUGAUCUUCAGAUUGCUCAUAGAAAAGACAAGACAAUGUCCUGUGAUAAUCUUGUGGAUAAUCACGACGAUGAUGUUUUCGAGGAAAUAUCGAUGACCUCAUCAUCGAGAAGAUCAUCAUCCUCGGGUUUUGGUGCUUGUGAUUUCAACGAUACGCGAAAUGAUUCACUGAGAAAAUCGAGUAGUUGUGACUUCAAGGAAACAAAGAGAUGUAACUUUCCCUAUGCCUUCUUGCGUUCAAAAUUAUCCGUCCUACCAGAAGAACGAAAUGGUCCUCCACAGACGAAGGAGGAUCGUCUCUUCAAAGCCACCUCCGAGGAGCAUUUUCCAGUUUUAAAAAUCGACGAGUCCUUCGAUGGUACAACGACCCUGGGCAGACGACGGAGUAAACACACGAACGGGGAUAAUCCUCAAACACCUAGAUUCAGCCGGAAUUCAUACGCCGAGUAUAGAAGUGGUAGGGCAUCCAGUAGUCUCAGUAAGUGUGACCCAGACAGGUACAGUCUCAAUCCGAGUAACCUAGAGCGAAUGGAGGACACAUUGAAACGCGAGGAGAGAUGCUACAGUCCAUUUAUACGUCCACCAAGAAAUGUACAACCAACGCUCACCGAAUCCACCCAAGAGACAUCAGACUACCCGCAAAUCGAUAAUUACAGAUUAUCGGAGACGUCUUCCCUGGGUGCCGAGUUGGAUGUCAUAGCGACACUGAGAAAUCAUCGGCGCAACUCGGCCCCCUGUCCUGAGCAAAGACUGUCAUCGCAUUACGUCAGUUCUAACGAAUCGGGGUAUGAUUCGGACGGUGCAGGAAGGGGUGAAUCGACCGCAACAUUUGAGAAUGAAACAGUUAGUUUGAAGUGUACAGAUAGCUCUGACACUAGUAGUGUUAUUGAUUCGGAGCUUGAGAAACCAAUGAGAAGUUCGACGCCUAGUGAGUGCCGCGAUGUGACCAGUAAUCUCAGUGUUAAGGCGAUUAAAUCCGUUAGAAGUGUGUCUGAUAUGAACGAGGGAAUUGAUGGCCUCAGGUGGCAUCAGAGCACAUCUGGCAGACUGUUGCCGAGCAUUCAUCAGGGCGCGUACGAUGAUAGCCCGUCAAAUCGAUUAUCAUUGUGCUCGGAUAGCGUGCAGAGUAUUAAGAUAGAGCAGCAGCAGGUGGAUUGUACACCGCCUCAUCGGGUUAGACUCCAGCAGGAUAAAACCAGAUUUCUGAGUGACAUUAUUCAGCCACCGAGAAGGGUUAGGAGAUGUCGAGCGGUGCAGUUGAUGAGGAGGGAUGGCAAGGAUAGUCUGGGGAUUAGAUUGGCUCAGCAACAUGGAGGGGAGAUGAAGUAUAUUGUUGUGCAGUUGGAGAAUGACGGAAUUGCACACAGGGAUGGAAGAUUACGUUUAGGUGAUGAAAUAGUCGAAGUAGAAGGUAAAGAAUUGCGAACACUGAAAACCCUCGAGGAAGUACAGGAAUUCCUUAAGUCAUUUACGGGUAAUAAGGUGCGACUGACUACGGCGUACGAGGAAACCGUACCCGAGGGAUAUACAGAGACAACAGCUAUCCCCAAGGAGUACGAACACCUUGAGAAUGCCAAGAAUCUCUCAAAUGCAUCACAAAUGGAUAAUCAGAGGCAGUGUGAUGUAUCGGGUGAUCGAGUGGAGGUGGAUAAGCAGGUGGAUGCUUUGCAGAGGAAACGGCCAAAUUAUCUUCCAUUAACGUGUGUUACGAAGGCUAGAAAGGAUCCUGUUGAACCUACACCGGAUGCCGACCAGUACUUGACGAGACAUGCUGCGAGAUUCGAGAAGGGCAUUGGAAAGCCGAGUCUUGGGUUCAGCGUUGUUGGUGGCAGAGACAGCCCGAGGGGAGAGAUGGGAAUUUUUGUGAGGCGAGUGUUUCCUGGAGGCCAGGCGGACUCCUCCAAGGCCCUCUUCCAAGGUACGAAGGAUUGCGGUUAAUAGAGCACAACGGACAAAUUCUCUUAACGUUGCGAACCUGAAAAACCAGAGAAAUAGAAUUAAAUAGAUACUCGAGACACGACUAACUUACUGAUAGUUUAAACUGACAACUCCCAACUAUUAAAUUACACGUUUUGUAUCAAGCCGGUAGAAAUAGCCAAUCAUCUGCCUUAAGGAGAUUUCUUACUUCACUAUUGCAUUAUUGGCACGCGAUGGAUUACUGUUUCGAGGAUUCUUCCGCAUUGAGAGGGAUUCAAGUGGAUGGACUGAUCAAUGAAGUGAAACGAAGAAUGGGAAAGGAGGUGCAAAUAAAACAUGAAUUGUACAUGAGACGAGAAUGGGGAGUGGGAAUAAAUGAGAAAAACGGUCUUCAGUUUUAUUCGUGGGCACAUCUCUAAGUCUGACAAAAGGAGAUGAAAUUCUUAGUCUCAAUGGCAAACAGUUGCGGGGGUGUACGCAUCAGGAAGUUAUUGAGUUGUUCAAGGCUGUUAGGGAAGGGGUAGUGGAGCUGGAAAUCGCUAGGAGGCAUAGGUA